Molecule: long non-coding RNA, 704 nt
Filed under: Struthio camelus australis
Lineage: Eukaryota; Metazoa; Chordata; Aves; Struthioniformes; Struthionidae
Description: lncRNA (ENSSCUG00000007973.1)
Source: RNAcentral
AUCAACUUCUACUUUCGCAACUUCUUGUCUAUGUGGAAAAGACUCAAGGGUCCAACACAGGCUUCAUCUGCGCACAGACCCAAGCGGCCUUCCAGCGCCUUCGCCUUCACGGUGACACCUCCUCCAGCCCUGCCCCUGGCGACCGUGCAACAGCCCUGGGCCAAGUGGAGCAACGACUACACAGCCAAGUUGUACCAGAGAAUGAUUCAGUAUAUGCUUUUCAUCUUUUAGCGCACUUUAACUACCGAAAAUUCGGAAAAGUGUCAGCAUCCAGUAACCAGCAAGGUCUACCGUGUGUCCCACCCGAAUCAUCAGCUGGUUAUCAGGCCACAGCUGUAGGAUACCACAUGUCAAGGAGGAGCUCUCACUAUGUACAUGAUGCUUCCUUCUUGUUAGAAAAAAUAAAAAUAUAUAUAUUCUUUUCUGACUUCCCUAAAGGAGCAAAAUUGCCAAGCAGGAAGCAAACUGUGUUAAGAGAUAAAGGGAGUUAUAAUCACAGGCUUAGUACCAGCACAGAAGUCUCUAAGAGCAACUGCACUCAGAAAAAAAUUACUCAGUAAACAUCUGAAUGUCUGCUAAACCAAAAAUAUGACUCAUUAGGUACCAACUGACUGUCAGUGACUACUGUUUGUUUGUUCUCAAUUUUUAUUUAAUUCUUCUAACUCAGAUAAAUAAAUCUUGCUCCAGCCCUAAUGUGUGACUCA